GACCAAUCGUCGCACAUAUUCGCGUUGUGCUGGCGAUGGCGACGGUUCUCUUUCUAA
Molecule: microRNA precursor, 57 nt
Filed under: Heligmosomoides polygyrus
Lineage: Eukaryota; Metazoa; Nematoda; Chromadorea; Rhabditida; Heligmosomidae
Description: microRNA hpo-mir-10103 precursor
Source: miRBase by way of RNAcentral